This 457-nucleotide ribosomal RNA is filed under the name uncultured bacterium. RNAcentral's name for it is "bacterial SSU rRNA". It matches the Rfam family "Bacterial small subunit ribosomal RNA", at positions 29 to 529 of the family's 1533-position model. The record is from RNAcentral.
AACGAACGCUGGCGGCAGGCUUAACACAUGCAAGUCGAACGCCCCGCAAGGGGAGUGGCAGACGGGUGAGUAACGCGUGGGAACGUACCUUUCAGUUCGGAAUAACUCAGGGGAACUUGUGCUAAUACCGGAUACGCCCGCAAGGGGGAAAGAUUUAUCGCUGAAAGAUCGGCCCGCGUUGGAUUAGCUAGUUGGUGGGGUAAAGGCCUACCAAGGCGACGAUCCAUAGCUGGUCUGAGAGGAUGAUCAGCCACACUGGGACUGAGACACGGCCCAGACUCCUACGGGAGGCAGCAGUGGGGAAUAUUGGACAAUGGGCGCAAGCCUGAUCCAGCCAUGCCGCGUGUGUGAUGAAGGCCUUAGGGUUGUAAAGCACUUUCACCGAUGAAGAUAAUGACGGUAGUCGGAGAAGAACGCCCGGCUAACUUCGUGCCAGCAGCCGCGGUAAAAUCUCUAU